AUUUAUGCAACGAGCACCAUCGAGUUAUACAUCCAGCUGGAAGCUAAUCUGAGUUUGCUCGCUCUCUCUGUUUGAUCUAUGGAGUUUGCGCAGCGUGAUGUUUAAGGAUGUAACCUAACAUUUUUAGCACAUACCACAUACCCUGUUUUUAGUUUUGAAAUUUGUGGGUCGUGAAACAAUGGCACAAGCAAUUUUUGUUCACGUCAAUUGCCCAGGUAACGACAACGAUAUGGCGGAUGCGGCAGCAAGGCACGCAGCAGCCGUUGAUCUGUUUACAAGACAAUGCCCCUUAGCGGCUAGUGUGGAGGAAGUUGUUGGCAUUAGAGGUAGAGGACGAAAAAAAUGUAGAUGGAGAGUGAGAUAUACCAGGAAUAUGAACGCAGGAUAUCUCCAGAUGGAUGGCGAACAACUGGUGUUGGAUAUUAUGAAUAACAAGCCGAACAAUACGGAGAUUGUUGAAAAAACCAGAAGUGUAUAUCCCCCAUUCAUAGAACUAAUUUACUCUUGCGGAUGUAGAUGCAAUGUAUCCCCAACAUCAAGUAUGUCAAUUAAAAGAUGUGAUUCUGUUGUUAAUUUAAAGGUGGAGGAGAAUUUGGUUAAUUUAAAGUUGGAGGAGGAUCUCCAAGAAUAAGGCCUGAUUUCAUAAUCAAUUUUUACCAAUUGAUGAUUAGAAUGCUAGAAUUAUUUAAUUUUAUUGUUUAUUGUAUUAUAUGAACUAUUACAUCCUAGCCGUAAGUUAGUAAACAGGGUUUUAAAUUUGAUUAUGAAAUGGACAGAAUUGGCAUUUUUUUUAUGUAUAGAGUGACGUUAAUAUUCUAGGUACCUAAUACAAGUUAGUGUUUUAGGGUCAAUUUUUUAUUUCAGGGAACCUUUGGCUGUAAUUGAAUAAAUUGAAUAAAGAUAAAUAUUUGUUGAAAUA
Molecule: RNA transcript, 919 nt
Organism: Tribolium castaneum (red flour beetle)
Lineage: Eukaryota; Metazoa; Arthropoda; Insecta; Coleoptera; Tenebrionidae
Exons: 2
Source: RefSeq, a predicted model, not a curated record